GGAAAGGCGCGCGAUACAGGGUGACAGCCCCGUACACAAAAAUGCACAUGCUGUGAGCUCGAUGAGUAGGGCGGGACACGUGGUAUCCUGUCUGAAUAUGGGGGGACCAUCCUCCAAGGCUAAAUACUCCUGACUGACCGAUAGUGAACCAGUACCGUGAGGGAAAGGCGAAAAGAACCCCGGCGAGGGGAGUGAAAAAGAACCUGAAACCGUGUACGUACAAGCAGUGGGAGCACGCUUAGGCGUGUGACUGCGUACCUUUUGUAUAAUGGGUCAGCGACUUAUAUUCUGUAGCAAGGUUAACCGAAUAGGGGAGCCGAAGGGAAACCGAGUCUUAACUGGGCGUUAAGUUGCAGGGUAUAGACCCGAAACCCGGUGAUCUAGCCAUGGGCAGGUUGAAGGUUGGGUAACACUAACUGGAGGACCGAACCGACUAAUGUUGAAAAAUUAGCGGAUGACUUGUGGCUGGGGGUGAAAGGCCAAUCAAACCGGGAGAUAGCUGGUUCUCCCCGAAAGCUAUUUAGGUAGCGCCUCGUGAAUUCAUCUCCGGGGGUAGAGCACUGUUUCGGCAAGGGGGUCAUCCCGACUUACCAACCCGAUGCAAACUGCGAAUACCGGAGAAUGUUAUCACGGGAGACACACGGCGGGUGCUAACGUCCGUCGUGAAGAGGGAAACAACCCAGACCGCCAGCUAAGGUCCCAAAGUCAUGGUUAAGUGGGAAACGAUGUGGGAAGGCCCAGACAGCCAGGAUGUUGGCUUAGAAGCAGCCAUCAUUUAAAGAAAGCGUAAUAGCUCACUGGUCGAGUCGGCCUGCGCGGAAGAUGUAACGGGGCUAAACCAUGCACCGAAGCUGCGGCAGCGACACUAUGUGUUGUUGGGUAGGGGAGCGUUCUGUAAGCCUGUGAAGGUGUACUGUGAGGUAUGCUGGAGGUAUCAGAAGUGCGAAUGCUGACAUAAGUAACGAUAAAGCGGGUGAAAAGCCCGCUCGCCGGAAGACCAAGGGUUCCUGUCCAACGUUAAUCGGGGCAGGGUGAGUCGACCCCUAAGGCGAGGCCGAAAGGCGUAGUCGAUGGGAAACAGGUUAAUAUUCCUGUACUUGGUGUUACUGCGAAGGGGGGACGGAGAAGGCUAUGUUGGCCGGGCGACGGUUGUCCCGGUUUAAGCGUGUAGGCUGGUUUUCCAGGCAAAUCCGGAAAAUCAAGGCUGAGGCGUGAUGACGAGGCACUACGGUGCUGAAGCAACAAAUGCCCUGCUUCCAGGAAAAGCCUCUAAGCAUCAGGUAACAUCAAAUCGUACCCCAAACCGACACAGGUGGUCAGGUAGAGAAUACCAAGGCGCUUGAGAGAACUCGGGUGAAGGAACUAGGCAAAAUGGUGCCGUAACUUCGGGAGAA
This 1394-nucleotide ribosomal RNA is filed under the name Escherichia coli. Its description in RNAcentral is "partial 23S ribosomal RNA". It matches the Rfam family "Bacterial large subunit ribosomal RNA", at positions 344 to 1744 of the family's 2925-position model. Lineage: Bacteria; Pseudomonadati; Pseudomonadota; Gammaproteobacteria; Enterobacterales; Enterobacteriaceae. The record is from RNAcentral.